Molecule: RNA transcript, 1289 nt
Organism: Amborella trichopoda
Lineage: Eukaryota; Viridiplantae; Streptophyta; Magnoliopsida; Amborellales; Amborellaceae
Gene name: fatty acid hydroxylase 1
Source: RefSeq, a predicted model, not a curated record
CUCUGUGAAAUUCAUUCUCCGUCGCUCGUUCCCGCUCUUCUCCGGCUUUGUUCGGAGAAUGAAAGCGCGGUUUUUCCCUCAUCUCCUUCUGAUAUUUUAGGGUUUCUCUAUCUCCCUAUCUCUCCUUCUCUCUCUAUUCACUGGUUUAUACGGUUUAUUGCCUCGUUUCUAGGGUUACCUGUCGCUGCUGCUUCUUUCAUUCAUACCGUUGUGAAUAUUAAUACUCAAAAGAGCAACGAUGGUUGCACAGGCAUUCACCGUGGACUUGAAUAAGCCUCUUGUCUUCCAGGUUGGUCAUCUUGGUGAUGCCUAUCAGGAAUGGGUUCACCAGCCGAUCGUAAGCAAGGAAGGUCCUCGCUUUUUUGAGAGUGAAUUUUGGGAGUUCCUCACACGCACCGCAUGGUGGGUAAUCCCAAUCAUCUGGUUGCCAGUUGUCUGUUGGUCCAUCACCACAUCGAUUCACAGGAGACUUUCGAUUCCACAAGCAGCUCUAUGUGUUGGUUUUGGGAUUUUUGUAUGGACGUUGGUCGAGUACACCUUGCACCGCUUCCUCUUUCACAUCAAGACAUGUAGCUACUGGGGGAACACCAUGCAUUACCUUCUUCAUGGUUGCCACCAUAAGCACCCAAUGGAUGGACUGCGGCUAGUUUUCCCACCUGCAGCAGCAGCUAUUUUAUGUAUUCCUUUUUGGGGCCUUCUCAGACUUCUAUCAACCCAUUCGACUAGUCCAGCCUUGUUUGGAGGCGGUCUAUUGGGCUAUGUUAUGUAUGAUGUUACUCACUAUUACCUUCAUCAUGGACAGCCGUCCAAAGAAGUUGCUCGCAAUCUUAAGAUCGAUCCAAAAAAAAGAAAGAAGGGAGCAUGUAUUAUCUUUUGAGCCCGCUUGUUGUCCCUCUCUCUCUCUUAUACAUGCACGUGCAUACAGGCAGAGAGAGGGAGAGUGAGAGGUGGCAUAGGAGAAAUAAAUGCAGAGGGACACAGAGAGGUGGAUGCAGAGAAAGAAAUAGAGAGAGAGAGCGGGGGAGUGGGGUGACCAUGGAUCUCUCAAAGGAACACAAAAGAGCAAACAUGGUGAACUUCUUCUGAAUCAGAAUGUUGUUGUCUUUUUGAAGCAGAUGAUGAACAUCUUGUGAAGAAAAUCAGAUGCGAGUCAUGCUGUAUUUUUUAUUCUGAUGGGUUGAAUCAGGUUUAGAGAAAAGCCCUUUGUAUGUUUUUCCUUAGUUUAUUUUUUCUAAUAUGUUAUUUGAGCUAUGUUAAUUUAGGGAUUUUUGAGUUAUGUUAAAAUUGAG